Molecule: ribosomal RNA, 253 nt
Filed under: uncultured bacterium
Lineage: Bacteria
Description: partial 16S ribosomal RNA
Rfam family: Bacterial small subunit ribosomal RNA
Source: RNAcentral
UACAGAGGUCCCGAGCGUUGUUCGGAUUCACUGGGCGUAAAGGGUGCGUAGGCGGCAGGGUAAGUCUGAUGUGAAAUCCCGCAGCUUAACUGCGGAACUGCAUCGGAUACUAUCCAGCUAGAGGAGUGGAGGGGAGACUGGAAUUCUCGGUGUAGCAGUGAAAUGCGUAGAUAUCGAGAGGAACACCAGUGGCGAAGGCGAGUCUCUGGACACCUCCUGACGCUGAGGCACGAAAGCCAGGGGAGCAAACGGG